UCAUCUUCCCUGUCUUGUUCCUGGGCGCAGAGGGCUCCUCCGGCGCCGCCGAGCUGCGCCCGCUGCCUUCACACCCCGGACAUCCGCGCCACACGUGACACCUGCGGAGACAGCCCCCGUAAGGCUCCUGUUCCCGCCCCCUCCCGCCCCAGGGACCCAGACCCCAGGAGGCCUCACCCCACAGCAAGAGAAAGACCACGAGCAUGGACAUGAUGGUCGCGCUCACUCCGGUGCAGUGAGUGUCUGGGUGAUGGAUCCUAGAACCUGUUCUAGAAGGAGACGCUGAGUUCUCCCCACUCUACCUGGAGCUGCUGAGGUCAAGUGGAGAGUGCCGGGGCUGAAGCCCAGCGAGCCCCUCCCUGUCACACCACACUGCACAUGUGACACCAAAGGUGGGGUUCACCUCUUUUCAGACUUUCUGCGGUUGCCCUCACAUGGGCUGUCUGGAGGUGCACCCUCACUCUUCCUGAGGACUGUGGUUCCUUCUCCAUCACUGGUUCAUUCUGCAUGGUGUGACCCACCACGGCUCUGGAGUCGGAUUUCCACCCAGGUCAUUCAGCUGAGACCUGCGCUUCCCAGGCCUACCCGUGACAUGUGCUCAGUUACCUGAGCUGCUGGUGGUCACUCAUGUGGCUAUAGCCUGCUGCCUGGAGGCCAGGCCUCCCGCUUCCCCUGCCUCCCCCUCUCCUCACCACAGCCUGUUGGGAUGGAACAGGACAGGGGUGAGACCGUGGUGCUUUCACACUCAGCCUCCAUGGACAUCCUGUCAUUCCCACCCGGGGAGGUCUGGUCCCCACCCUGGGUGUCCCAGCCUAGCUCCGCUACGAGUGUGAGGGCCCAGGGCAACCGCCUAGCCCUCAUCUGCCCCCUGCACUGCAUCCUCCCCACUCAUUCAUUCCACAGGCAUUUAUUGAGCAUCUACUGUGUGCCAGAUGCAAAGAAGACAGUGGGAUAACUGGGCAAGGAGCAUUCCAGGCAGAGGGAACAGCCAGUGCAAACAUGGGAGAUGCGGGUGCAGUGAGAAGGAGCAGAGGAGACCAGGAGUUGAGGCGACUGCAGAGCGAUUGCAGAGCUCAUAGACGUGAUGAAGACCAGCUGGGCACUGCAGCGGCUCUGGCUUCUGCUGUGAGGGACGGGGAGCUGUGGAGACUCCCUCUGUUUGGUCCCAUUUCCAUAUUGCUGAGCACCUGCUGCAUGCUCUCUGUCCUGCUCAGAGCCAGUACCUGGAUGGAGGCUGUGUGUUCUGGGUGGACUGGGGGAGAAUGCAUUCUUUGCAGAAGAGACAACCAGGUGCUGAGGCCUGAAGUCAUAACCAGACCUGGGGCACUCAGACAAGGACUGGUGGCCAGGCCAGAGGAGCAGAGCUCAGGGUGUGCACAGAACUCAGAAGUCAGACCACUGAACAGUGACAGAACCUUUCAGCCCAUUGGCAAUGAGGCUGCCCAGGCAGCCAGAGGCCUGGUCAAAUCUGAGGUCUGCAGAGAUGGAGCUGUCAUUCUGUGUUUCCUUUGGCAGUCCCAACACCAGCCUCGUUGCACCCUCCUCUUAGCUUCCCUGGGUUCUCCAGCCCUAAGGGUGGUAGCAGCUUCCUGCAAGUAUCCAGCUCUGAGAUUCUGCAACAUCCACUUUUGCUCUCUGAGCCUUGCAAAACCUGCACAAUCAGUCCCUAACUUAUAUCCCCUCUGUUUGAAAUACCUAGUGUGGUUUCUAUUUCCUGA
Long non-coding RNA from Homo sapiens (human), 1718 nucleotides. Ensembl annotates it as A1BG antisense RNA 1. Its record names the gene A1BG-AS1. NCBI's taxonomy places the organism in Eukaryota, Metazoa, Chordata, Mammalia, Primates, Hominidae. The record is from Ensembl.